UCCUCAAAGCUUUCUUUGCUCUAUGGUCUGAUCUCCCAGAAUAGCAGAACCUUUAUCUAGAAGAUUGUGUAAUUCUGUAAGAGGCAGAUUACUUUACUACCAAUUCAGAAGUCUCAAAUUCAGUUUUUCCUCUGCCCCAUGGGUUUUUACAAAGUUUCUGGUGGUCAUUAAUGCCGCUCAUAGUAACGUCUUCAUUUAUUCCCUUUUCUUGGAUGACUAGCUGUUGAAGGCACUCUCAGACAUUUUUCUUCAAGAUGUCCAGUAAUCCUCUUCGUGUCUUUAAGCAUAGGGCUGGAUUCUCAAGCUAUGGAAGUUAGACAUUGUUCCCUCCAAGGAAAAAUUUGUUUCUGGGCUUUAUUAUAGAUUCUACACUCAUGAAGAUGUUUCUAUCUACAGAGAAGAUUAAAUUAAUAUUAGCCUUGUCUUCCCUUAAAGCAGUAUGUUCCAUAAGGGAGGCAAUGCUGCAUUGGGUCUUCUCACUGCAACCAUUCCAGCCAUCCACUGGGCAGGAGUAAGUAUAAGACCAUUACAGAAAAACAACCUUUUUAGAAUGGAACAGAGAUCAAUCCUCUGGGUCACCUUGUGAAAAUUUAGCCUUCAACAAUAAAGAGCUUCAGCUAGUGGAAAGGUUCAAAGUUAAUUUUGAAAGGCCUAUCCUUCUGAUUGAAAGAAUACUGUUUCAUCACAAGAGACGCCUCAGCUUUUAGUUUGGGAGAUUAGAUGGGAAACUCUUCUACAAAAGGACAAUAGACAAGUCAAGAUUCCAGAAGAACUUUAGAGCACUAUAGGCUGUUUGUAUGGUUCUCAUACAUUUUAGACAAGUUCUCUUUCAUUUCCUCAGAUAAUGCCACUACAGUGGCUUACAUCAACAGAUAAGAUAAUUGUUUGCAGUCAAUUUCAUAGGGAACGUCAACGUUCUAGCAGAUGCAUUAAGCUUAAAUCUUCUAAAACAGUGAGAUUGGUCCCUGAUCCAUUAAACAUUCCUUUUUUAUUUUUGCUUUUUUUGGAAGGUCAGAAAUACAUUAUUGCCUCGAUCGACACUUCAGACCAGCCAGACUACCUGAACACCCUAGCGAUUUAUUGGGAUUUCCCAAUAACAUACAUCCCCGCCCUCCAGUCCUGUUGAUUCUGAGAGACAUGCACAAGAUUAUCCAGUACAGAGCCACCAUCAUAGCUAUAAAUUAUUUCUCUUCUGGCUAAAGUUAGUUUCUUAUGCUUAUAAGCCUGUCCUAAGGAAACUACUUGACCUUCCUUUGUCUUUGAAAAUUCUGGAAUACUACCUAGUGGAUCAGCAGACCUUGAAAUCUUUCAAGCUCACAGUUUGAUUUCUGAAAGGCAAAUCCUGAGUUCAAAAGGUUUAAGCCCUGAAAUUAUAAAUAUUUUUGUGUUGGCCCUGAAAAAUUCCACCAGUGAAAUUAAUGCAAGAAUUUGGAAAAGGUUCUUUGUUUUGGUACAAAGGUUAAUCCCAUUGCAGCUCCUUGCCGCCUGUGUUUUCUGCAACUUGGCUUCUCUAUAGGUUUUACAUCCUGCUUCUCUUCGUGUUUAAGUCUCUCUGCAAUCAAUUUUACUCCCUCAGAGAUUUAACUUCUGAUCCCCUUGUGGUCAAAUUCUUCAGAGCAGUCUCUAACUUGCUUCCUACAAUUAGAGAAAUCACUCCACCUUGGGGUCUUUUGUUCUGUCAUCCCUCUGCGAAUCUCCAUUUAAGCCAUUACAGGGUUGUCUUUUGAGUUUUAUAACCUGGAAAACAGUGUUCCUGAUAGCAAUUACAUCAGAUAAUGUAUAUAACUUUAAGCACUUCCAGCAUAUCCUCCCUCUCUGACUUUUCAUUUGGAGAAGGUGGUUUUAAAGCUUCAUAUUCCAUUUCAUUGAUUAAAUGUUCUAACACUUUUCUGUUACUUAGACAAGACAAAUUCAGAUAAUCAGCACGCUUGGUUGUCCUUUACCAGGGCCAGAAGAAAGAUAAUAUAUGGCCUACAUUGGGAUCCUGGGCCAGCUGGAUCAAGGAAGCCAUUAAAUGGACCUAGUUCCUCAAAUCUGCCUCCUCUGCAUUUUAGGAAUUUCUAACUAUAGAUUAGAUAUACAGGCCUGGGAGGAUACUCUCUGGGUGCCAAUUGCUUCAAGUAGUAGUGAAGUGCAGUUAUUAUAUUAUUUAUAUAGUGCCAUCAGAUUCCGUAGCGCUGUACAAUGGGUUGGUAACUCUCUAUGGGAUUGCUUGUUUAUCCCUAAUGUUGCACUGCCUCUAAACUAGAGGGAAAGUUAUUAUUAUUUAUUUAUUUUACUUUGCACUUAUUUCCCUCCCUAUUUAAUUAUUUCAGCUUGUGUACUUUCUUGAGCAUUUUUGUCUUUGGGGAUUUUAUAGUUUAAAAAUGAGGGAGAGGAAGAGUGAGGGGCUUAACCUUUUAAAAGUGUCCUACCUGCCUUUUUCCUGAAGGAAAUGGGAGAUACCUAAUGUUGCACUGCCUCUAAUAUUCAGGAAAAAGACAUUGACAGUAGAAACACUUUUUUUUUUUUUUAUUGGUAGAGCACAACUUCUAAAAAAAAAAAAAAAAAGGUAAUUAUGAUUCCCAUAAUUUGGAGCAAUGUAUCACUAGUCUCCCAUUAUAAGGAUUUGAAUAAAUGCAUAUUUUCUGCUUACCAGCACUUUGACUUCACUUGUUAAAGGACCACUAUAGUGCCCUGAGUGUGCCCCCACCCUCAGGGUCCCCCCCGCCGGGCUCUAGGGUGAAGGGGUUAAACUUACCUCUUUCUCCAGGGCUGGGCGGGGAGCUGUCCUCCUCCUCGACUGAAUGCGCAUGCAUGGCAAGAGCUGCGCGUGCAUUCAGCCAGUCUCAUAGGAAAGCAUUAUUGAAUGCUUUCCUAUGGACGCUGGAGUCUUCUCACUGUGACUUUCACAGUGAGAAGCAUGCAAGCGCCUCUAGCGGCUGUCAAUGAGACAACCACUAAAGGCUGGAUUAACCCUAAUAUAAACAUAGCAGUUUCUAUGUUAACCCUAGGUUAACCCUAGCUGGACCUGGCACCCAGACCACUUCAUUAAGCUGAAGUGGUCUGGGUGCCUAUAGUGGUCCUUUAAGGCUAGUGGAGAGUGAUAACCAUGCUGUUUCCGAUGGACUUUAAAAAAAAAAAAAAAAAAUGUAAUCAUACAGAGACAAAAAAAAAAAUAUCCUUGUUGUGCUGCCAUAGUCUAGAACAGGGAUAGGCACCCUUCAUCACUCAAGAUGUUUUGGAUUACAUCUCCCAUAAUGCUCUUACACCCAUAAUGCUGGCAAAAAACCAUGGGGGGGGGGGUGUAGUCCAAAACAUCUGGAGUGUCGAAGGUUGCCUAUGCCUGGUCUAGAAGUUGAAAUGGCAUCGUGGGAAUCUACAGUGCGUAGAGGAAAAUGCAGAUUCCUCACAAGUAGUCAUUCAUAAAGUGGUAAAAUGUUAUAUUUUCAAACCCAUAGCAUGCCAUAAAAAUAGCCAUGAUACUGUACAAUGGCAAUAUUUUAUUUAUCCAAAGGGAUGUACAAAUGUGUUUUGUUUUUUUAACCAUUAUAACUUAAUCUAGGAUAGUUUUCUCAUGCAAUACACAUUCUAUUUUUCACAUCAAUUGCACACACAACCUUUCAUGAUACUCACAUGUUAGUGUGCUAAUUUUAGUAUUUCUUGUUAGUGAGUGAGUUCAUGUAAAAGAAAAAAUGAAAAUUAAGCCAGGAAAGCAUGAAUUCUGUUCACUUUCACAACAUCUCGUGAUCAGUACAUGCUUUGAAGAGAGUACAGUAUGCUUCCUGCUAUAUUUGAUGCUUCCAAAUGUACGUGAGCCACAAAAGAGUGAGGCAACACCAAAAAAAAAUUAUCGUGCAGAAAAAUUAAGCAGAAUGUAUGUAUGUAAAGCGUUCCUUCUGAAACUAGUAUUUAGCAGGACUUUUCUUUUUAACCUUCCUAGCUGUCACAGAAAAAUUAUAUGGUCGAUAUUGCACAUAGUCCACUCCCAGAAAUGCAAUGGAAUUUUUCACCAUUUAUAUAAUUUGAUAAUUAAGCUUCAGAAAUAAUAAUUUGCUGACUUAUUUCAUAUGUGUAAUACUUCUUUCAUACUGAUGAGGGAAAAGGAGUAUAGAGUUUUAUUAGGGCCUAUCCACAAAUUAAGGUCAACCUAAACCAUAUUUCAUAAUUUUCCCAAAUUGUUUAUUGCAUGUAGAUGACUUGAUGUCACUCUUCAGGCUCUUGACAAACUAGAAGUGCAGUUAUUUUAGCCAAUCAUAGAUUGAAGAGCUACUUACUAAGGAUACCGGGAAUGGGAAUGGGGUAUAUGUAGAAACAUGUCAUCUGCUCUUAGAAUAUCUACAACUAAAACAAUAAUGGGACCUAUAGAAACACCUAAAGCAGUGAGUUAGAAUUUUUAUUUUUUGGGGGACAGGGACCCAUAAUAUAUGUAUUUUGGCAACAGCAAAAAACAGCCCCCCCCUCACAUUGUUUAAAGAUUAUCCCCUGUACUAAUAAAUUAAGUUAAUUUAUUGUGGCUGUUGUCUGGAUCAUGAUGGGUGUGAUGCGACUGUUUUGACAACCAGGGACCCAAAUGUUCGUGCAAACCUGCUGUUAAGAAUCAUUGCCUAUCCCUGACCUAGAGCCUUCUUCCUUCUGGGUAUACCAUUACAAUUGUUACCAAUGUCUUCAUUGUCCCCCUAUUUAUUUUAUGACAAAUGAAACUUGUAUUGUAGACAUCAAUCCUAUUUAUAUAAACUUUUUUAUUUUUUAUAUAAGACAAAAUAUGCAUAGAUGUAGGGCUGUUGAUGCAUAAUGUAAAAUUGUGUUUGAGUCUACACGCUCUCUUAACAAUUACAGUUAAUGAAGUCAUUGUUAAUUUAAUUUUGAACAAUGAUGUGGUUUAUUGUAUAUCGAUUUAGGGAUUACCCAAAAUCUUUUGCAACUGGUUGAUGAAAACUGGUUUGAGAACCAAUAAAGUAUAGAGUUUUUUGUUUUUCCUAUAAAUUUAUAGGAUAUGUUAUGUAUAUUAUUGUGCUUUGAGUACUGAUUCAUUAACAUCUUUCUGAGACUUGAAAUGUGCAUGCUUUUGCCCUAAUACAUAAUCUAGCAUCCCAUAGUGAAUAAGUAAGGAGAUUAUAGAAAUUGGCCAGGAAUUAUAUGUUAAAGGAAGAGAAAUGAAGGAAAACACAAACUCAAAGGUUCAAUUCUACUGAAUCGUAUAUUACUUCACUGAACACUUUUAAAUUGAAAAUGUAAACUUCUUAAAAUAUGUGGAAUACCUCAUUUAUUUCAAAUUUGAUGAAAAAUAUUUUUUUGGGGGGGAAAACAAUCAUGUUUCACGAUUCAAUAGAAAUAAUUUGAUAAACUUGAUUUUCUAAAUAAACAAAGUUCAUCUUGGUUUUUAAAGGUGUAGAUUUGCUUAUUGAAUAUAAAUUACAUUUGCUUGAUUAUUUAUUAUUUUAUGGAUUAUGCUCUGAAUAUAGGUGAUUAGGGCAGAGUUCCAAUUUUUUGUUGAAAGGAGUUAUGGGGCGAGAAUUUUCAUGUAGCGCAAUGGAGAGUUUUUCCCACUCUACGUUUCUGGCCUGAAUGUUGCUAAGUAUUUAAAGUUAAGGUGGC
RNAcentral lists this long non-coding RNA (5577 nucleotides) under Pelobates cultripes (western spadefoot toad). Lineage: Eukaryota; Metazoa; Chordata; Amphibia; Anura; Pelobatidae. The record is from RNAcentral.